AGUGUGAUUGCUGGACUGUAGGGUAAGAAUAUAUUUAGCUUUUUUAAAGAAACUGCCAAACUAUCUUUUAAAGUGUCUGCACCAUUUUGCCUUCCAACCAGCAAU
Molecule: microRNA precursor, 105 nt
Filed under: Marmota monax (woodchuck)
Lineage: Eukaryota; Metazoa; Chordata; Mammalia; Rodentia; Sciuridae
Source: RNAcentral